UUGUCUUUUAAUUGAAGACUAGAACAAAAGAUUGAACAAUUUAAUUAAUAUAUAAAACUUUAAAAUUAUUUUAAAUGUAAAAAAACUUUUAUACAAAAGGAAGACGACAAGACCCUAUUAAACUUAACUUAAGUUCAACUGGGGCAGUUAAUCAAUUAUUAUUUUAAUAAAAAAACAAAAAUAAAAGAUCCAAUAAAAUUGAUUAAAUGAUCAAGUUACUAUAGGGAUAACAGCGUAAUAUUAAUUUAAAGAUCUUAUUUAAAUAAAAGUUUACGACCUCGAUGUUGAAUUAAUAACCUAAUUAUUGCAAUAAAUAAAUAAAGGAAGUCCGUUCGACUAUUAAAAAAUUACA
Molecule: ribosomal RNA, 352 nt
Filed under: Tomopisthes horrendus
Lineage: Eukaryota; Metazoa; Arthropoda; Arachnida; Araneae; Anyphaenidae
Description: partial 16S ribosomal RNA
Source: RNAcentral